GAUGAACGCUGGCGGCGUGCCUAAUACAUGCAAGUCGAGCGAACAGAUAAGGAGCUUGCUCCUUUGAAGUUAGCGGCGGACGGGUGAGUAACACGUGGGUAACCUACCUAUAAGACUGGGAUAACUUCGGGAAACCGGAGCUAAUACCGGAUAACAUUUAGAACCGCAUGGUUCUAAAGUGAAAGAUGGUUUUGCUAUCACUUAUAGAUGGACCCGCGCCGUAUUAGCUAGUUGGUAAGGUAACGGCUUACCAAGGCGACGAUACGUAGCCGACCUGAGAGGGUGAUCGGCCACACUGGAACUGAGACACGGUCCAGACUCCUACGGGAGGCAGCAGUAGGGAAUCUGCCGCAAUGGGCGAAAGCCUGACGGAGCAACGCCGCGUGAGUGAUGAAGGGUUUCGGCUCGUAAAACUCUGUUAUUAGGGAAGAACAAAUGUGUAAGUAACUGUGCACAUCUUGACGGUACCUAAUCAGAAAGCCACGGCUAACUACG
RNAcentral lists this ribosomal RNA (495 nucleotides) under uncultured bacterium. RNAcentral describes it as "partial 16S ribosomal RNA". It matches the Rfam family "Bacterial small subunit ribosomal RNA", at positions 28 to 505 of the family's 1533-position model. The record is from RNAcentral.